GACGUCAGCGCCCACCCCUCCUCAGGCAGCUCCCAUCACCCUCCUGCUAAAGUUUCCGCCGCCUUUUAUUCCUCUCCAGCCCGCCCUCAUCCUGGCGAAGAGCUCCCUUUAGACACCCGGAUAGUUGCCCCCGCCGGCAUUAACCAACGGGCACACGAAGCUCUUGAUUUUCGUUGCGCGCCAGCCUCUGGCGGCGCCCGCAGAGCCCGGACGGAAAGGGCCGCCGGGGAUGGGGAGGAGGGACGGCUCCCCRCGCCUCGCACCUCUCCGGCAGCGGGCGCCGGCUUGGCAGCGCUCCCGUCCUCCUGCCCUUCUCCCCCGCGGGGCACCGGCGCGCACCAGGCUCGGCCCCGCCGGAGGGGGUGGGGGGUUGAGGAUGGGGAGCCCGCGGGCGCCUUCACUGAGGCCACCGACCCCAUCGAGCUGCCCUCCUCCCCGGGCGUCCCCGGCUGGSUCCGAGCCGCCAUCCCGGCCCCCAAGCAGCCCACGAGGGACGGCUCCGGGAUAACUCUUAAAACCCCCCCUUGGCCGGAUGCCUUCCCCCCCCCCCGCAGGCCCCCGGUCCGGACCCCGCACCGGUCCGCUUCCUCCUCUGCCCUCUCCUCGCACUGGCCACCGAGAGCAGACCCGGCUGGGAGCGAUGGCGAAGCAAGGACCCACCGGGCUGGCGAAAUCCUGAAAACAAAGAAAACGAGCCAGACCAGCACUCGGUCAUGGGGCAGAGGGAACGGCCUUUCCACCUGGGAGAUACCACCGACACACACGGACGUGGCCGUGUUUCCAAGCAGAAAAAAGGGCCGGGCCGGGCCGGGUCGGCGCACCUCCCCGCGUGCUGCCUGUGAACCCGCCGGGACGUGGGGACAGGUAUCUGGAGAAGUGCGUUUCAUGCUCCUCACAUGGAGGCUGUAGCUUGGUCGGCUCACACAGGGAGCCAGGAGAGACAACACAACGCUUUUCAGCACUUCAGCCACAUGGGAAUUUUGCCACCCCAAAGAUGAGACUCAAGGUAAUGGAUUUUGUCCUUGAUGGUGGCAACAGCAAAAUUCAGUGUGAACACUAGGGGCCAAGCAGACUCGGAGAUGGCAGCUGGGGAAAUGCUAGAGGUCACUGGGAUAUCAGAGAAUUGUGGUGCAUAUAUGGCUUCACUGUUAAUAAUAUUAUUUACAGUGGGAGAGACAAGAACAAUAUUAAACACCUGUCUGCAUGCAAAGAUGCUUUUGGUUCAUGACUGGCUGAAGCAGUCAGCCGGGGAAUCUUUAUUUGUCUAACGAGAAAUUAGCAGCCCAACCUUGGAGCAGGGGGUGCUCAGGCUGGGUUGCACGGAGGUGAACAGCAUCCUGUGAGAGCAGGACAAGCACAGGCAACAUGGGAUAAAGCAGGGACCUUCAGGAAAGUUUCUUUUUUUUCCCUCUACAAAAUUUUGCCAGGACACUCACAGCUUUAUCCGGGGAUCAUUUGACAGGUCACAUGCCUUCACAGCCUAUACAUAUGAAAUAGGUGGGUUUUCCCCCAAAUGUACAACUUCAAACUUCUGCUAGUGUAGAGAUGAACUCAACCUUUAGAGUCUUACUGAUGCAGUGUUGCUAUUACAGAAAUUUGCUGUUGGGUUUGAUGCAGGCUGCGGUCCCAGCUGGGUUUAGAGCUCCGCUGUGCCAGAUGCUGCAAAUGCACGGAAGAGAGAGGGACCUUCCAGGACUACAUGCUCCAGACCCACAGGGUUUUAUAUUUUAAUAGACAAAAGCAGCAAGUGGCGGAAGAAAAGGAAAAGUGUUGUCUCUGUUCAGCCAGUAAGAUCAGGUGACUUGCCCAAAGUUACCCAGCAGAAAUGGGAAUUCAACCUGAGUCUUCCCAGCGCCAGUCCCGCAUCUCGCCAACGUGCUUGGUCCCCUCUCCCAGGGAGGGAAAACACGCUGAUCCCUUCUGUAUCACCUUCAUACUGCAGGAGACAGUAAGGACAGGCAACCUCCACCUUUCCUUGCUGCUCUUGAAGAUCGCACCCUUCUCUUGGUUCAGCCACAUCACACCAGUUACCAAGCCCUGACUCCAGCCUUGGUCCUCGCAGCCCCAGCAAAGUGCUCGGCUGCACAGCCCAGGCAGCAGCAACAGCUUCUCUCUCUGCAGGUUUCGUUGGAACUAAAUUUCAAACCAUGCAACUUUUGCUCCAAAUCAAAGACACUUUGGAAAGAAAAUCAAUACUUUUCAGAGGGGAAAAAUAGGCAAAAAUUCUCAUUUAAUGAGUCUGUAUUUUUAUGUAUUUUGCAAACCCUGGAAGUAAGCAUCUUCCUGCUGACUACAAUCAACUUUGAGAGAUGAGGAGCAGAUUUUUCUGGAGUUCUCCAUUCCCCUAUGAAAUGUGUGUCUAGAAGGGGGAGGGGAGUAGAAAACAGCUGGCAGUUUAGAUGAAAAAUGUAUUGAAUAUGCUAAGCAUGUGAUUAUCAAAGGUUCAUAACUCAGUCGAAUCAAAACCAAUUUCUUUCAGAACAAUGAGACACACUUCUCAAUGAAGGCUCUUCCCAGGCCAAAUUUCAUCUUUCAGAAAUAACAUGCUGUAAGUACUUCUUGUAUAAUAAUAAAAAUAAAAAAAGGACUUAUUUUACUGCCUUC
Molecule: long non-coding RNA, 2604 nt
Organism: Apteryx owenii (little spotted kiwi)
Lineage: Eukaryota; Metazoa; Chordata; Aves; Apterygiformes; Apterygidae
Source: Ensembl